CCUACGGGAGGCAGCAGUGGGGAAUUUUGGACAAUGGGCGCAAGCCUGAUCCAGCAAUGCCGCGUGAGUGAAGAAGGCCUUCGGGUUGUAAAGCUCUUUUGUCAGGGAAGAAACGGUCUACUCUAAUACAGUGGGCUAAUGACGGUACCUGAAGAAUAAGCACCGGCUAACUACGUGCCAGCAGCCGCGGUAAUACGUAGGGUGCAAGCGUUAAUCGGAAUUACUGGGCGUAAAGCGUGCGCAGGCGGUUAUAUAAGUCAGAUGUGAAAUCCCCGGGCUCAACCUGGGAACUGCAUUUGAGACUGUAUGGCUAGAGUGUGUCAGAGGGGGGUAGAAUUCCACGUGUAGCAGUGAAAUGCGUAGAUAUGUGGAGGAAUACCGAUGGCGAAGGCAGCCCCCUGGGAUAACACUGACGCUCAUGCACGAAAGCGUGGGGAGCAAACAGGAUUAGAUACCCUGGUAGUCCACGCCCUAAACGAUGUCUACUAGUUGUCGGGACUUAAUUGUCUUGGUAACGCAGCUAACGCGUGAAGUAGACCGCCUGGGGGAGGUACGGUCGCGAGAGUAAACUAACGAAAGAAGUAGUAGACGCGAGAGAGACGACGACGGACGACGACGGAGGGAGGAGG
Molecule: ribosomal RNA, 629 nt
Filed under: uncultured bacterium
Lineage: Bacteria
Description: bacterial SSU rRNA
Rfam family: Bacterial small subunit ribosomal RNA (bases 1-542)
Source: RNAcentral